This 899-nucleotide ribosomal RNA is filed under the name uncultured bacterium. RNAcentral describes it as "bacterial SSU rRNA". It matches the Rfam family "Bacterial small subunit ribosomal RNA", at positions 21 to 898 of the family's 1533-position model. The record is from RNAcentral.
GGCUCAGAACGAACGCUGGCGGCGUGCCUAACACAUGCAAGUCGAGCGAGAAAGCCCGCAAGGGUGAGUAAAGCGGCGCACGGGUGCGUAACACGUGGGUAAUCUGCCCUGAAGUCCGGAAUAACUCGCCGAAAGGCGUGCUAAUGCCGGAUAAGACCACGGGAGCCUCGGCUCCUGCGGAAAAAGGUGGCCUCUGUACACAAGCUAUCACUUCAGGAUGAGCCCGCGGCCCAUCAGCUCGUUGGCGGGGUAAUGGCCCACCAAGGCUACGACGGGUAGCUGGUCUGAGAGGACGAUCAGCCACACUGGAACUGAGACACGGUCCAGACUCCUACGGGAGGCAGCAGUGGGAAUCUUGCGCAAUGGGCGAAAGCCUGACGCAGCAACGCCGCGUGUGUGAUGAAGGUCUUCGGAUCGUAAAGCACUGUCGCGAGGGACGAAUAAGGGUUGGGUGAACAAUCCAGUCCGAUGACGGUACCUCGAGAGGAAGCACCGGCUAACUCUGUGCCAGCAGCCGCGGUAAUACAGAGGGUGCAAGCGUUGUUCGGAAUUAUUGGGCGUAAAGCGCGUGUAGGCGGCUUUGUAAGUCAGGUGUGAAAGCCCUCGGCUUAACCGAGGAAGUGCGCCUGAAACUGCAGAGCUUGAGUGCCGGAGAGGGCGGUGGAAUUCCCGGUGUAGAGGUGAAAUUCGUAGAUAUCGGGAGGAACACCAGCGGCGAAGGCGACCGCCUGGACGGUAACUGACGCUGAGACGCGAAAGCGUGGGGAGCAAACAGGAUUAGAUACCCUGGUAGUCCACGCUGUAAACGAUGAGCGCUAGGUGUUGUGGGUGUUGACCCCUGCAGUGCCGCAGCUAACGCAUUAAGCGCUCCGCCUGGGAAGUACGGCCGCAAGGCUAAA